UUCUCAACCCGCAUAACCUGUCCGCUCGAGAGCACGAUCCAGUCAGGCGGAGGCGGGCGUUGCACGAUGGGGAUCUCGGCGAUGCAGGAUGCAGCGAUCGCGUCGGACCUCGCCGCGGUGCUCUCCGGGGAUUGGCCUCGCCGCUGCUUUUUGGGGACUUCCCUGCACCUCUGCCCCCGUGCCCCGCUGCCCCGCUGCCGUCCGCCUGCCCUGGCCGCUGGAGAGCACGAUCCGGUCCGCGGCCUCUGCCCCCUGCGGCCCUCCCGGCCGCCUCCUUAUGAAUCGCCGCUGACGCCUCCUUCCGGCGAGAGGCCGAUCUGCCGCUUCCAGUUGUCGCAAGAGAAAGAGAUUGCUCGUGAAGUCCUGUAAUCAGAUAAUGCUGAUAGCGAAGACAGGUGGUGAGAUGGAUGAUGCCUUAUCAGCACCUGCGCCUGGUGCGUACAAGGACUAGAAUUUAUAACAGUCCUGUCGUGCUACCUUGUUACUGCUUACCACCAGUCCACCAGUAAAAGGGUUCAUAGUGUGUAACUGUACUAAUCCUGGUGUUUGUGUAUUUGCAUGAUUGUCUUACUUCUCUGGCCCAAUUGUUUUGUGUAUUUUCUGAUUAUUAUAGUUGAGGCCAUCUUGUGCUGACGGUGAUUUUUUUUUUAGGUUUGUACAGCUUAUCUCCAUUUCCAUUAGUUCGAUAUGUUUCUUGUGGCUUGAGCAUAGCCGAGGAUCUUGUAUCUGUGAAGGAAUGCAUAACGCAGUUCUUGGUCAGGCUGCCGAUAUGCCAAUUCAUCGUGCCGAGGAACCUGAAUCUCCUAGCCAUACCUCUGUCAGUCUCACAGGAAAAGAGAAGAACAGCCGUAAACACGACCGUAUAGAUUGGACAAGAGAAGAACAGCCGCAGACAUGCUCCAAGUUGGUCUCAAUCGAGCCAAGGAGGGUGUAGUCUGAACCGAAGCGUGCAAUCGUCUGUGUGUAAUCAUCAAUAAAAUGUAAAACACUGAUAUGGUAUCAUAUGUAAUGCUGACGGUGGUGGGUUUUGUUAACCAGCUCGCUGGGUUCACAGGAACCUGUUCUGUGUCUUUGCAAAGAGAUAAUAAAAGACGAUGUGAUGGUUAAUCUUGUUGUAUUUUAUUCUCCUGGACUCAUGGUGCAUCAACUACACUCGUAUGUCUAAUAGAACCAUUGCUGAAUCU
Molecule: RNA transcript, 1184 nt
Organism: Lolium perenne
Lineage: Eukaryota; Viridiplantae; Streptophyta; Magnoliopsida; Poales; Poaceae
Source: RefSeq, a predicted model, not a curated record